Molecule: transfer RNA, 63 nt
Filed under: Quernocoris caliginosus
Lineage: Eukaryota; Metazoa; Arthropoda; Insecta; Hemiptera; Miridae
Description: tRNA-Cys
Source: RNAcentral
AGCUUUAUAGUCAAUAUAUGAUAUUAGAUUGCAAUUCUAAAGUAGUGGUUUUUACUAAAGCUU